Molecule: unclassified non-coding RNA, 161 nt
Filed under: plant metagenome
Description: partial contains small subunit ribosomal RNA and internal transcribed spacer 1
Rfam family: Eukaryotic small subunit ribosomal RNA (bases 1-46)
Source: RNAcentral
AAGUCGUAACAAGGUUUCCGUAGGUGAACCUGCGGAAGGAUCAUUAAUAAUCUGCGAGCAAUCGCUUUAUUAAAUCUUUUAACACCUGUGAACUAUUGGCCCUCGGGCUAAAACAUAUAAACAUAAUGUAAUGAAUGUAAACUAUUAUAACAAUAAUACAA